AGGGUGUAAACGCUGCAGACUUGGUGUUGGAGGCCCUUUGGGGGGCAUUCAGUGCCGGAGAGAAGUUGUUAAGUCUGCUACUUGGGGAGUACGUCCGCAAGGAUGGAACUUAAAGGAAUUGGCGGGGGAGCACCACAACAGGUGGAGCCUGCGGUUUAAUUGGAUUCAACACCGUAAAACUCACCAGGGAAGACUGUUACAUGAAGGCCGAGAUGAAGACUCUGCUAGAUUUUCAGAGAGGUGGUGCAUGGCGUCAGUGACU
RNAcentral lists this ribosomal RNA (262 nucleotides) under uncultured archaeon. RNAcentral's name for it is "partial 16S ribosomal RNA". It matches the Rfam family "Archaeal small subunit ribosomal RNA", at positions 748 to 1008 of the family's 1478-position model. The record is from RNAcentral.